UACGUAGGGGGCUAGCGUUGUCCGGAAUCAUUGGGCGUAAAGAGCGUGUAGGCGGCCCGGUAAGUCCGCUGUGAAAGUCGGGGGCUCAACCCUCGAAUGCCGGUGGAUACUGUCGGGCUAGAGUGCGGAAGAGGCGAGUGGAAUUCCUGGUGUAGCGGUGAAAUGCGCAGAUAUCAGGAGGAACACCGAUUGCGAAGGCAGCUCGCUGGGACGUCACUGACGCAGAGACGCGAAAGCGUGGGGAGCAAACAGG
RNAcentral lists this ribosomal RNA (253 nucleotides) under uncultured bacterium. Its description in RNAcentral is "partial 16S ribosomal RNA". It matches the Rfam family "Bacterial small subunit ribosomal RNA", at positions 524 to 776 of the family's 1533-position model. The record is from RNAcentral.